RNAcentral lists this ribosomal RNA (253 nucleotides) under uncultured bacterium. RNAcentral describes it as "partial 16S ribosomal RNA". It matches the Rfam family "Bacterial small subunit ribosomal RNA", at positions 524 to 776 of the family's 1533-position model. The record is from RNAcentral.
UACGAAGGGGGCUAGCGUUGCUCGGAAUCACUGGGCGUAAAGCGCACGUAGGCGGAUUUUUAAGUCAGGGGUGAAAUCCCGGGGCUCAACCUCGGAACUGCCUUUGAUACUGGAGAUCUUGAGUCCGGAAGAGGUAAGUGGAACUGCGAGUGUAGAGGUGAAAUUCGUAGAUAUUCGCAAGAACACCAGUGGCGAAGGCGGCUUACUGGUCCGGAACUGACGCUGAGGUGCGAAAGCGUGGGGAGCAAACAGG